GAUGAAGAACGUAGCGAAAUGCGAUAAGUAGUGUGAAUUGCAGACUUUAGUGAAUCAUCGAAUCUUUGAACGCACAUUGCGCCCCCUGGUAUUCCGGGGGGCAUGCCUGUCCGAGCGUCAUUGCUGCCCUCAAGCACGGCUUGUGUGUUGGGCCUCCGUCCUCCUCCCGGGGGACGGGCCCGAAAGGCAGCGGCGGCACCGCGUCCGGUCCUCGAGCGUAUGGGGCUUCGUCACCCGCUCUUGUAGGCCCGGCCGGCGCUUGCCGACACAUCAAUCUUUUUUCCAGGUUGACCUCGGAUCAGGUAGGGAUACCCGCUGAACUUAAGCAUAUCAAUAAGCGGAGGA
This 345-nucleotide unclassified non-coding RNA is filed under the name soil metagenome. RNAcentral's name for it is "partial contains 5.8S ribosomal RNA, internal transcribed spacer 2, and large subunit ribosomal RNA". The stretch from base 1 to 120 matches the Rfam family "5.8S ribosomal RNA", at positions 35 to 154 of the family's 154-position model. The record is from RNAcentral.